This 253-nucleotide ribosomal RNA is filed under the name uncultured bacterium. Its description in RNAcentral is "partial 16S ribosomal RNA". It matches the Rfam family "Bacterial small subunit ribosomal RNA", at positions 524 to 776 of the family's 1533-position model. The record is from RNAcentral.
UACGGAGGUUGCAAGCGUUGUUCGGAAUUACUGGGCGUAAAGCGCGUGCAGGCGGUUUGGUAAGUCGGGCGUGAAAGCCCCGGGCUUAACCCGGGAAGUGCGUUCGAAACUGCCGUUCUUGAGUAUGGGAGAGGAGAGUGGAAUUCCCAGUGUAGAGGUGAAAUUCGUAGAUAUUGGGAGGAACACCCGUGGCGAAGGCGACUCUCUGGACCAAUACUGACGCUGAGACGCGAAAGCGUGGGGAGCAAACAGG